Long non-coding RNA from Cannabis sativa, 1460 nucleotides. RefSeq lists it as uncharacterized. Lineage: Eukaryota; Viridiplantae; Streptophyta; Magnoliopsida; Rosales; Cannabaceae. The record is from RefSeq and is a predicted model, not a curated record. The transcript is spliced from 2 exons.
UUUGUUUGAAGUGAUGUACUAAAAGUUAUAAUGGUACUUCUGAUCUGAAGAGGGUAAUGUAGACAUUUAACACUUGAUCAUAUCUUUCUUUCUAUAUAAUAAGUAGAUAACUGAAGACCUACAAACAUAAUUAGUUAGUUGACUUCACUCAUCGAAGUUGAGAUGAAAAUGAGAGAAAUAAUGCAAUAUUGGAGUGAGUGUAUAAAGUAGUGGAAAGCUAAGAAUAUUGAAUCUCGACCAGCCGAGUAGAAAUAUCAAAUAUAUAUCUCUUAUCUCUGUAGUUGGUUUCAGUCUCAGUCUCAGCUCCUAAUAUUUAUUUAUUGCUGAGUUAAUUUAUAAUUUCUGCUCGACUGCUUGAGAUUCAAUCUUCUAUGCAAAUCACUCAUUAUAUAGUGUACCUGAAUGCUUUUACAUAUGUGAUAUAUGUCACUCUCUUCAAAGAAAGUGGCACCACAAGCAAGAGCCUCACUAGGUAUGCCCCUAACAAAACGACCUUCAAUAUCAAAAAUCACUCCCAUACCCAUAUGCAAAUGAGGCUCAAUAUGGCAAUGGAAAGCCCAAACUCCACGAUUGUCCGCCACAAAUCGAAGGGCAGUCCAUCCGUAAGGGAAAAUCACAGCCGUGUUUCUUAAAGGCGGGUUCUUUAGGUUAAGCUUUUUCUCAUCAUUCUUCGAAAACUUACCUUCUCCGUAACCCAAAACCCAAAAGUCAUGGCCGUGCAAGUGCCACGGGUGAAUUUCGCUAACAUUGGCUUUUAUAGCAUUCGUGUUUUGGAGUAUAACAUCCACUGUUGAUUUGAAUUUGAGCCUGUAGACCCCACUGCUAGUUGUUGUGUUGGUGUUGACAGGUGGCUUCAUGAUGUCAUAAUUGGCAGGGUAGCUUUCUGGUGGGCUCCUCUGAUCAAAUGUAUGGUUCAGUAAAAAUUUGACUGAGCCCAAAUAUGGGGUGGCUGGUAGUACUAAAGAGACAUUGUUUAUGGCCCACUUCGUGUGACCGUUGAUCAUGUUUUGUGUGUUGAGGAGGAUCAUCCUACGGUUGUAAAAUCUUGGAGGUUUUGGGGAUCCCAUUCGGGCCAACACGCUUUUUGAAAAGGUUUUACUGUGGUUAUAAUCAUCCCAUCUUGGUGUUACUGGUGGAGGUGAAACGGGGAGUUUUGAUGCUGAAUUUGGGAGGUAAUUUAAGAGGGUUAGACCUUGUGGGGUCUUUGGUUCUCUCCCUCUAACUCCAACUGAGACCCAGUAAUUGUUUUUAGGGUUUUGAUUUGUGGUUAUUAGGACUGAGUAACUUUCCCCUGAAUAAAUGUCCAAAUCAUCCACUAAGAAUGGUUGCACAUAGUUUCCAUCUGCUUCCACUACCAACAUUUUGUGAUUCUGAAAAAGUAUAUAUAAAAAAAUGAAAUAAUUAUUUCGUGUAUAUACUAUAAAUAAUAAGACAUCACUAGCUACAAUAUUGCCAAGCCA